UCCGGGAUGGUGGUGGUAGCACAUGUGUUUCUGGAGCAUAUAGCCUGGGUUCGAAUCCCAGUCCCGGAGCCA
Molecule: transfer RNA, 72 nt
Filed under: Desulfosporosinus sp. Sb-LF
Lineage: Bacteria; Bacillati; Bacillota; Clostridia; Eubacteriales; Desulfitobacteriaceae
Description: tRNA-Gln
Rfam family: tRNA
About the family: Transfer RNA (tRNA) molecules are approximately 80 nucleotides in length. Their secondary structure includes four short double-helical elements and three loops (D, anti-codon, and T loops). Further hydrogen bonds mediate the characteristic L-shaped molecular structure. tRNAs have two regions of fundamental functional importance: the anti-codon, which is responsible for specific mRNA codon recognition, and the 3' end, to which the tRNAs corresponding amino acid is attached (by aminoacyl-tRNA synthetases). tRNAs cope with the degeneracy of the genetic code in two manners: having more than one tRNA (with a specific anti-codon) for a particular amino acid; and 'wobble' base-pairing, i.e. permitting non-standard base-pairing at the 3rd anti-codon position.
Source: RNAcentral